RNAcentral lists this ribosomal RNA (1211 nucleotides) under Salmonella enterica. Its description in RNAcentral is "partial 23S ribosomal RNA". It matches the Rfam family "Bacterial large subunit ribosomal RNA", at positions 1213 to 2405 of the family's 2925-position model. The record is from RNAcentral. Lineage: Bacteria; Pseudomonadati; Pseudomonadota; Gammaproteobacteria; Enterobacterales; Enterobacteriaceae.
GCUGAUGCGUUGUUGGGUAGGGGAGCGUUCUGUAAGCCUGCGAAGGUGACCUGUGAGGGUUGCUGGAGGUAUCAGAAGUGCGAAUGCUGACAUAAGUAACGAUAAAGCGGGUGAAAAGCCCGCUCGCCGGAAGACCAAGGGUUCCUGUCCAACGUUAAUCGGGGCAGGGUGAGUCGACCCCUAAGGCGAGGCCGAAAGGCGUAGUCGAUGGGAAACGGGUUAAUAUUCCCGUACUUGGUGUUACUGCGAAGGGGGGACGGAGAAGGCUAUGUUGGCCGGGCGACGGUUGUCCCGGUUUAAGCGUGUAGGUGUGUGUUCCAGGUAAAUCCGGUUCACUUUAACACUGAGGCGUGAUGACGAGGCACUACGGUGCUGAAGCAACAAAUGCCCUGCUUCCAGGAAAAGCCUCUAAGCAUCAGGUAACAUCAAAUCGUACCCCAAACCGACACAGGUGGUCAGGUAGAGAAUACCAAGGCGCUUGAGAGAACUCGGGUGAAGGAACUAGGCAAAAUGGUGCCGUAACUUCGGGAGAAGGCACGCUGACACGUAGGUGAAGUGAUUUACUCAUGGAGCUGAAGUCAGUCGAAGAUACCAGCUGGCUGCAACUGUUUAUUAAAAACACAGCACUGUGCAAACACGAAAGUGGACGUAUACGGUGUGACGCCUGCCCGGUGCCGGAAGGUUAAUUGAUGGGGUCAGCGCAAGCGAAGCUCCUGAUCGAAGCCCCGGUAAACGGCGGCCGUAACUAUAACGGUCCUAAGGUAGCGAAAUUCCUUGUCGGGUAAGUUCCGACCUGCACGAAUGGCGUAAUGAUGGCCAGGCUGUCUCCACCCGAGACUCAGUGAAAUUGAACUCGCUGUGAAGAUGCAGUGUACCCGCGGCAAGACGGAAAGACCCCGUGAACCUUUACUAUAGCUUGACACUGAACAUUGAGCCUUGAUGUGUAGGAUAGGUGGGAGGCUUUGAAGUGUGGACGCCAGUCUGCAUGGAGCCGACCUUGAAAUACCACCCUUUAAUGUUUGAUGUUCUAACGUGGACCCGUAAUCCGGGUUGCGGACAGUGUCUGGUGGGUAGUUUGACUGGGGCGGUCUCCUCCUAAAGAGUAACGGAGGAGCACGAAGGUUGGCUAAUCCUGGUCGGACAUCAGGAGGUUAGUGCAAUGGCAUAAGCCAGCUUGACUGCGAGCGUGACGGCGCGAGCAGGUGCGAAAG